GUGGCAUCCAAAGCGCGGCCCGGACCGCGGGCCUCCCCGCCCUCCCUGACGCUUCCUGCUUCCUUCCGUCCGUCAGCCCUUUUCUCCUUUCUCAGCCACUACUUUCUCCCCGCUCCCAAUCCCUCUUUCCGCCUUCUAUACAGUUUGUUAAACGCCUGUUAUGUGUAAGGAUGGUGCUGCUCGAAGAAUUGAGACUGGAGAGUAGAGACAAAAAUCCCUGCCCUCGUGGAGCUUCCGUUCUAGUGGGGGAAACACGGCAAAUAAAAUCAGCAGCUACGUGAGACAGAAAGCGGAAGUGCCAGCUCGCUGCUGCUUUGGCCCAGCUCUAGAUAACCUCGUCGUCUUUUAGCAGUUCUCUUGCCCCAGGCCGGUGGAGGGGGCGCUCCUGGAGCUCUAGGAAGACGCACGGAUCGAGCGAGGUCCGGAAACAGUGAAUGAGGAACUCUGCGACUCCCUAGGGCCUGUUUCUUCACUCCUAAAUAAAAUCGACGGCUCCGUGGCAGAGCGUGCUCGGCAUGUGCAAGGCCCCGAGUUCCAUCUCUUUCAAUCUCUCUCAAUCUAUUGCUCAAUCUUCCUUGCCAAAUAAAUGCAAUUGGCUUUGUAAAAUUUACAACAUGAGAUACUGUGGCUGAAGCCCUCCAAAAAAUCUUCUGAAGGCUGCCCAAGCCUUAGAGAACGCCUCUGCGCCUGGCCUCCUUAC
This 700-nucleotide long non-coding RNA is filed under the name Marmota monax (woodchuck). Lineage: Eukaryota; Metazoa; Chordata; Mammalia; Rodentia; Sciuridae. The record is from RNAcentral.